RNAcentral lists this long non-coding RNA (3365 nucleotides) under Canis lupus familiaris (dog). Its description in RNAcentral is "lncRNA (ENSCAFG00845008481.1)". Lineage: Eukaryota; Metazoa; Chordata; Mammalia; Carnivora; Canidae. The record is from RNAcentral.
GGCUCCAUGCACCAGGAGCCCGACAUGGGACUCGAUCCCGGGUCUCCAGGAUCGCACCCUGGACCAAAGGCAGGCGCUAAACCGAUGCGCCACCCAGGGAUCCCCAAAUAAAACUAUAAUAUUAAAAAAAUAAAUCUUGGCCAGAUAAUUGUGGCUAUAUAUAUAGAUACUUAAGGGUUCUAGAACUGAAAGUUCAGAAUUAACAGUAAUCACCAUUUGAGAAAAUGAUUUCAUCAUUUUUUCCCCUAUAUUUCUUUCAUUUUCCCUACUAUCUAACUCCAAGAAGCAUGAUGAAUAUUAGUAAGGUGAUAACUACAAAAUACUUUGAUCUCUGACUUGGAGAGUAAUAUAAAGUAUAUCAUUAAAUAUAAAAGCAAAGAGUAUGUCAAAUGAGAUUAACCACUGGAUUGAAAUAAUCUAUUCCACUUCUUCCCCUUUUUCACAUUGAAAACUAGUUGUGAAAUAAGGCUAAUGAGGUGGAAACAUACAGUCUGAUGAUAAAAUCCAGAAACAAAAGAUACAUGUAGUAGUUCUCCCUCCAGGGAAAUUAAAAAUUCAAUAAUUUCCUCUAGGAUCAAGAUUGGCUGUUGGCCAUCCCUAGCAAAAGAGAUAUUUCUGAGAGAGGCAGGAAAUUAAUUCUACAGCCCAUAAAAAUAAAGACAUUCUAUUUUUUAAAUGACAGUAGUGAUUCUUGCAUAACUGAAAACCAUAAAGAAAAUAUAGAAAAGUAAUGUUCAAGACAUAACGAUAAACAACCUCAGAGGAGUUGGGACAGUAUUUCCCAUAUUUUCAUUUAAUAAGUUACUAUUUCUUUCUUGUUUGAGUGAAGGUCUUUUCAGUGAAGAUUUUUGUGGAGAUGGUCAUUAUCAAGAUAUAGAUAACUUUCUAGUUAGGAUCAUAUGACUGUACUUCCUUAGCUUAGUUCUAUCUGAUUGCUCUUACUUUUCAGGAUAUUUCUCAAUUUCAUGCUUAGAAAGGUAUUUAGAAAGGAUUCAUAACUCUCACAUUGUCUACUUAUAGGAAACCCUACACACUUAUUUUUUUUAAAUGAUAAAUCAGUUUUUCUAGUUGCCCAAAACAUAGGAGAAUGCAAGACAUCAGUCUAUGCUUAAUGUCCUGCUAUGAUUUAAAGAAGCCGCAGCAGGGAGGAAUGAAGCAGUGGGCUCUGACGGGACAUGGAGCAGCACAUCCUGCAUGAAUUGAGAGCAAUCAAUUCUCAGAUGGUUUGACUUGAUGCUCUUUGAGAAUUGUUUAUAUAUAUUUACAGAAUUUAGAUUCUUGAAAAUUUAUCCUACCAAUUAUGUACAACAGUUAAAUGCUUUUCCACCAGCUUUACUGGGAUCUAACAUAACACUAUGUAAGUUUGAAGUGCACCACAUAAUGAUUUGAUUUAUAUAUAGAUAUAGCAAAAUAAUUACCAAAGAGAAGUUAGUUGACACAUCUAUCAACUCAGAGAGGGACAGUGUGUGUGUGUGUGUGUGUGUGUGUGUGUGUGGUGACAAUAUUUAAGACUUACUCUAUUAGCAAGUUUUAGAUAUACAAUACAGUUACAUAUUUUUGUAAGUACCAGUUUGAUACCACUUGACAAAGUGGUAUCCCAAAUAAAUGGGAAAAAAUGAUGGGCUUGAUUUAAGGCAUUCUACUUUCUUUAUUAAUAAGAAGAAUUAAUAACUCCUUUAUAAUACCUAAAAUUUCUAUGUCCUUUUGUGCUGUUCAUAUUUAGAUUUCUAUAGUUUCCCCCAGAAGAUACCCAGAUAAAAUUUGCCUGUUCUGUGGGAGGCAAAGCCUGUUUUCCCUAAACUUUGCAUGCGAGAAUGAAAUCAUUUUUCAUAUUAUGCUCUUUAGGUGUUGCUUUUAAUGCAUUUUUAUAAACAUUCUUCUGAAAGGCAAUAUUUCUCCAUUUACAACUCUAUCAAUGGAAUGGGCAGUAAUAUUAAAUUGUUUGUACUUGGCAGCACAUUCAUAGGCAAAAACACAGCAAAUCAUUGUCUAAAAGGACAGUACCUAGAGACUCAGGGUUCUGUGACCCUGAGUAGGUAAGUGUCAGUGCAGUACCUUCAUCUUAAAUGUUAGUGGCUGGAUAGAAGAUUACAUAAGGAUAUUUUAUGAAAGUAUAAUCAUGUAGAAUUGUUCAGUCCCACUCAUUGACUCAUUUAUUCAAGAAAUACUUACUGAACAGCUGGUGUCGACCAGGACCUAGGUCUCCAAAGAUGAACAAAACGGACAUAGCUCAGCCCUCUCCCACCUCCCACCCAGUGAGAGAGACUGGGAGUAAAAUGGGCACUUGGAGGAGUGCCGCAUGGGGUGCCAGAUGCCUGUGGGAGGGACAUCCAUGUGUAAAUCUAGGUCACUUUCAAAUCUGAACCUCAGGGAUCAGGUCUGGGUUGAAUUUAUAGACUUGGGUGUCACCAGCAUAUCCAACAUGUAAUAAGUAAAACUCUGACAGAGGAGGAGAUGACCCAUAGGAGGGCCAAUGUUCAAAGAUAGAAUCCUGGGUCACACCAGACUUUAAAAGACAGACUUCUUUCCCAGAGUUUUCUCAGAUCAUAAUGCUGACCUCACCCUAAGUAAAGAUGGGAACAAUUUCAAUGGUACUAAAUAUAUCCCUAAAAUGUUUUCUCUAGACUCUGGCAUUGAGGGGACCUGUGAGUAAGAGUGUGCCUUCUGGUCUCAUGUUUGAAUGCUUCUCCACUUCAGCUUUCUAAUUUGUCAUUUGUAUUUCUUCAAGAUUGCCAUUGUUUUCUACCUCAAAUUAUGGAGCUGGAGAUAUCCUUUUAUGAUGAGAAGUAGGUUCUGGUGAUUAAAAAUAGUUUCAAAGCUCACAGUGAGGUCUCGAUUAUGUAACUUCCGUUGUAUUAGAUGGUUGCUUCCUGGAGAAAUAAAAGGAUACAUUAUUCCUUAGGUCCAAAAUAUCCUAGUUGGAACUCAAAGUUCAUGAGAGAUGAGGAUAGUGAAUCUGUAGAUAGCAAAACUCUGCUCACAGUUUUGUGGAACAGGUCUCUUGAGAAUUUAAGGAAGUUUUGUUCUGCAUACCUUUGUCCAGUGAACUAGCUGUGGAUGUGCUGUGAGACCAUUUACAGUGCACUGCAGCGAGCAGGAAGGCAAGACUGAUGUCUUCACCUGAUGAAAUCUUUAACGGAAGGCUAGUCUUCUUAAAUUAUGUCUGCAUUUGAUCUGAUAACGGACAAAACAAUUUCACUUCACCUUAGGCAGCAAAGACAAGAAAGGAAAGUAUAAUUUCUCACAUUCCCUUUGAUGGGUUUUCUUCUCUUUUGGUUAAAAUGAGAUUAUCUUUUUCAGAAGUUGUAAUAUACUUUGGGGGGAAAAAACCCAAAUUUCUAUUAUAACUACUCUACAAUGGCCUG